AGGCCGUGAUGGGGACACUUGCGUAAUAGCUCCUUGAACCUUUCCCAUGUUUCAUAUAAGGAUUCCCCAUCCUCUUGUGAGUAUGUAUUAAUUUCAGUCAUUAAUUU
This 107-nucleotide small nucleolar RNA is filed under the name Helianthus annuus (common sunflower). RNAcentral's name for it is "Plant small nucleolar RNA R71". It matches the Rfam family "Plant small nucleolar RNA R71". Rfam says of the family: R71 is a member of the C/D box family of snoRNAs containing the C (UGAUGA) and D (CUGA) box motifs. Lineage: Eukaryota; Viridiplantae; Streptophyta; Magnoliopsida; Asterales; Asteraceae. The record is from RNAcentral.